AAAAGGGCGUUUGGUGAAUGCCUUGGCAGUAAGAGGCGAUGAAAGACGUGAUACUCUGCGAUAAGCCAUGGGGAGCUGAGAAUAAGCUUUGAUCCAUGGAUUUCUGAAUGGGGCAACCCACCUGAUACUUUGUUAUUACUACCCUUCGGGGUAGCUAAUAAUGAGGUAAACCAGGUAUUUUUAGGCUGAAUAUAUAGGCUUAAAAAAGCAAACCCGGGGAACUGAAACAUCUAAGUACCCGGAGGAAAGGAAAUCAAUUGAUACUCCCCUAGUAGCGGCGAGCGAACGGGGACCAGCCGAGCCAUGAGUGUGGUUAGAAUGCGUUGGAAUGCGCAACCAGAGUGGGUGAUAGUCCCGUAUAAGAAGCAUGAUUGGACGUAUUAAGUAGGGCGGAACACGUGAAAUUCUGUCUGAAGAUCGGAGGACCACCUUCGAAGGCUAAGUACUCCUUACUGACCGAUAGUGAACCAGUACCGUGAGGGAAAGGUGAAAAGCACCCCGACGAGGGGAGUGAAACAGUACCUGAAACCGAACGCCUACAAUCAGUUGGAGGGGCUUUACGCCCUGACAGCGUACCUUUUGUAUAAUGGGUCAUCGACUUGGUCUCACAAGCAAGCUUAAGCCGUUAGGUGUAGGCGUAGCGAAAGCGAGUCUUAAUAGGGCGUUGAGUUUGUGGGAUCAGACCCGAAACCGAGUGAUCUAGGCAUGGCCAGGUUGAAGGUAAGGUAACACUUACUGGAGGACCGAACCCACAUCUGUUGAAAAAGAUCGGGAUGAGCUGUGCCUAGGGGUGAAAGGCCAAUCAAACUCGGAGAUAGCUGGUUCUCUGCGAAAUCUAUUUAGGUAGAGCGUCAUCCGAAUACCCUCGGGGGUAGAGCACUGGAUGGGUAAUGGGGCCCCACAGGCUUACUGAUCCUAACCAAACUCCGAAUACCGAGGAGUACUAGAUGGCAGACACACGGCGAAUGCUAACGUCCGUCGUGAAGAGGGAAACAACCCUGACCUCCAGCUAAGGCCCCUAAUUCAUGGCUAAGUGGGAAAGCAGGUGGGACGACCAAAACAACCAGGAGGUUGGCUUAGAAGCAGCCAUCCUUUAAAGAUAGCGUAACAGCUCACUGGUCUAAAUAAGUUGUCCUGCGGCGAAGAUGUAACGGGGCUCAAGCCAUGAGCCGAAGCUGAGGAUGCAUUUAUUGCAUGGUAGCAGAGCGUAGUGUGACAUAAUUCCAUGUCUCCUUAUCCACUUCGGUGGAAUUGGAGACGCGGAGUUUUCUGUGAAGCCGGCGCGUGAGCGAUCCGGUGGAGAGAUCACUAGUGAGAAUGAUGACAUGAGUAGCGACAAAGAGUGUGAGAAACACUCUCGCCGAAAGUCCAAGGGUUCCUGCUUAAAGCUAAUCUGAGCAGGGUAAGCCGACCCCUAAGGCGAGGCCGAAAGGCGUAGUCGAUGGGAACCAGGUUAAUAUUCCUGGGCCAGAUGGAAGUGACGGAUCUCGAGGGUAGUUCAUCCUUAUCGGAUUGAAUGGGCUGCUUAGAGGUUCCUGGAAAUAGCUCCAUCGCUAGAUCGUACCCUAAACCGACACAGGUGGACUGGUAGAGAAUACCAAGGCGCUUGAGAGAACUAUGUUGAAGGAACUCGGCAAAAUACCUCCGUAAGUUCGCGAGAAGGAGGCCCGGUUCCUAGGCAACUAGGGGCUGGGGGCACAAACCAGGGGGUGGCGACUGUUUAUUAAAAACACAGGGCUCUGCGAAGUCGUAAGACGACGUAUAGGGUCUGACGCCUGCCCGGUGCCUGAAGGUUAAAAGGAGGGGUGAGAGCUCUGAAUUGAAGCCCAGGUAAACGGCGGCCGUAACUAUAACGGUCCUAAGGUAGCGAAAUUCCUUGUCGGGUAAGUUCCGACCUGCACGAAUGGCGUAACGACUUCCCCGCUGUCUCCAACAUAGACUCAGCGAAAUUGAAUUACCUGUCAAGAUGCAGGUUUCCCGCGGUUAGACGGAAAGACCCCGUGCACCUUUACUACAGCUUCACACUGGCAUUAGGCCGAACAUGUGCAGGAUAGGUGGUGGGCUUUGAAACCGGAACGCCAGUUUCGGUGGAGCCUCCCUUGAGAUACCACCCUUGUUCUGCUUGAUGUCUAACCGCGGUCCGUUAUCCGGAUCCGGGACCCUGUGUGGCGGGUAGUUUGACUGGGGCGGUCGCCUCCUAAAUCGUAACGGAGGCGCGCGAAGGUUGGCUCAGAGCGGUCGGAAAUCGCUCGUUGAGUGCAAUGGCAGAAGCCAGCCUGACUGCGAGACUGACAAGUCGAGCAGAGUCGAAAGACGGCCAUAGUGAUCCGGUGGUCCCAAGUGGGAGGGCCAUCGCUCAACGGAUAAAAGGUACGCCGGGGAUAACAGGCUGAUACUGCCCAAGAGUCCAUAUCGACGGCAGUGUUUGGCACCUCGAUGUCGGCUCAUCUCAUCCUGGGGCUGGAGCAGGUCCCAAGGGUACGGCUGUUCGCCGUUUAAAGAGGUACGUGAGCUGGGUUUAGAACGUCGUGAGACAGUUCGGUCCCUAUCUUCCGUGGGUGUAGGAUACUUGAGAGGAGUUGCCCCUAGUACGAGAGGACCGGGGUGAACGAUCCACUGGUGGACCAGUUGUUAUGCCAAUAGCAGUGCUGGGUAGCUAUGAUCGGACAGGAUAACCGCUGAAGGCAUCUAAGCGGGAAGCCCCCCUCAAAACAAGGUAUCCCUGAGAGCCGAGGUAGACCACCUCGUCGAUAGGCCAGAGAUGUAAGCGUAGUAAUACGUUCAGUUGACUGGUACUAAUUGCUCGAUAGGCUUGAUU
Molecule: ribosomal RNA, 2818 nt
Filed under: Sulfitobacter noctilucae
Lineage: Bacteria; Pseudomonadati; Pseudomonadota; Alphaproteobacteria; Rhodobacterales; Roseobacteraceae
Description: bacterial LSU rRNA
Rfam family: Bacterial large subunit ribosomal RNA
Source: RNAcentral